GGCGGCUCUAGCGGGACGGUCCCAGGAGAGGCUGAGGAAGGAGGAAGGCUGGAGGGCAGAAUAUUAGCACCACCGUGAAUCCCUGUGCACCGACAUGCUUAGAACAGUGCACCUGGCAGGUGCUCAGUAAAGACUGGUUGAGAGAUGGCCUUCAGAUAGAUGGACCAACAUGUGCCAACUACUGUCCUAGGUGCUGGAAAACCUUGCUACCCACACUACGGCCAUGAGAAGUAAGGUGGCCAACAGUUUGGAACUACGGCAAACUCUUGUAGGGCCAAGACAGACUUUGAGAAAGCAGCACCACGAAUUCGGAAAGAGACACAGG
This is a long non-coding RNA of Zalophus californianus (California sea lion), 325 nucleotides long. RefSeq lists it as uncharacterized. The transcript has 4 exons. The record is from RefSeq and is a predicted model, not a curated record. Lineage: Eukaryota; Metazoa; Chordata; Mammalia; Carnivora; Otariidae.